Molecule: long non-coding RNA, 1038 nt
Organism: Ictalurus punctatus (channel catfish)
Lineage: Eukaryota; Metazoa; Chordata; Actinopteri; Siluriformes; Ictaluridae
Source: Ensembl
CAGAAAUCUUGAUGUUUGGUAUGAAGACUUGCUGCAGUAGGGUUGCUGAUUGCAGCCUGUAAAACUAAAAGCUACAGUUAGGAAAAUUUAGAUGCUGGUCUGUCAUUUAAUGGUUUGGGUGGUGGUUUCUUCUCAAUGCAGCUGACACUGACAUGGUUUAGUGUUUGUGUGUGUGUAUGUGUGUGUGUGUAUGUGUGUGUGGUGCUAGUGUGAAUGGAUCAGCUACAGCAGGAUUAUUGGGAAAAACUGUGAUCAGCGAUUGGUCGUUGGGAACAAUGGCGCUCAAUGAUUGGUUGUUGGGAACAAUGUAAAUCGUUUAUUGACUGUUCAGGACAACGUAGAUUAAAGAUUGGCUGUUGGGAACAAUGCGGAUCAGUGAUUCAUUGUUGGGAACAACAGUGUUCAUUGAUUGGUUGCUGGAAACAUUGUAGAUCAUUGAUUGUUGGGAACAACGUAGAUCAGUGACUGGUAAUUGGGAACGAUGGCACUCAGUGACUGGUUAUCGGGAACGAUGUAGGUCAGUGACUGGUUGUCGGGAACGAUGUAGGUCAGUGACUGGUUGUUGAGAAUGAUGGUGAUCAGUGAUUGGUUGUCGGGAACGAUGUAGGUCAGUGAUUGGUUGUUGAGAAUGACGGUGAUCAGUGAUUGGUUGUCGGGAACGACGUAGAUCAGUGACUGGUUGUUGAGAACAUUGUAGAUCAGUGAUUGGUUGUUGGGAAUGACGGUGAUCAGUGAUUGGUUGUUGGUGAGUCGAGUGACCUGCUCUCUCAACUCUUACAACCAGCAGCUGUCAUGUGAGCUGUAGAGUCGUAUCAGUCGCUAACGUCUGCUCAAAAAGCCGACAUAUUUGCUGCUAGAAGUGAAAUAAAGUUGCAGUGGAGUUUAAAAAGUCAUCAAAUCUAGUGCCAAAGUCAGUAAGUUGGCUACACAGUGUCUAAUAAAGUGCAAUGCAUUAAAAGUGUUACAUUUCUGAGAAUGAGACACAACCAAAUUAUGUGCGCUCAGCGGUAGUGUUAUGGAGAUCCCUUUCUAUUUAUG